RNAcentral lists this ribosomal RNA (253 nucleotides) under uncultured bacterium. Its description in RNAcentral is "partial 16S ribosomal RNA". It matches the Rfam family "Bacterial small subunit ribosomal RNA", at positions 524 to 776 of the family's 1533-position model. The record is from RNAcentral.
UACGUAGGGUGCAAGCGUUACUCGGAAUUACUGGGCGUAAAGCGUGCGCAGGCGGUUUUGUAAGUCUGAUGUGAAAUCCCCGGGCUCAACCUGGGAAUUGCAUUGGAGACUGCAAGGCUAGAAUCUGGCAGAGGGGGGUAGAAUUCCACGUGUAGCAGUGAAAUGCGUAGAGAUGUGGAGGAACACCGAUGGCGAAGGCAGCCCCCUGGGUCAAGAUUGACGCUCAUGCGCGAAAGCGUGGGGAGCGAACAGG